AACAUUUAAUAGAACCAUUUAAUCUAGUCUAUCGUCAUUGCAUCUAUUUACAAAGGCAACCGUAGGCUAUGUCUAAAUGCGGGUUUAAAGACCCCUAUUCCAAAGCAGUCGUGCAAAUGGCUUCAUUCCCUGACUCCGACUUGACUACAUGUCCCCUAUGCAAACAACUGUGCUGCUCCUCUGCUCCACUCUCCUCCAACUCUUCUACCUCCUCCUCCUCGUCUCAUACCUCAACUAGCUCAUCUACCUCAUCCUCCAGAAGGCUCCACGUCCUCCCAUGCCUCCAUGCCUUCUGCAGGCAGUGUCUGGAGGGCCAGCGGAACCCCGAAGACCCCUUGAAACUCCGGUGCCUGACUUGUGACCUAAAGGUUCUAAUGCCCGUAUCAGGAGUAGAUGCCUUGCCCUCGUCAAACUUUUUAUUUAGCAACAUGUUGGAUGCCGUGGUAAAUUUGUCUGAGGAGCAAAUCAACAAUACUGUUAGCAGUAGGGGUAACAACUUUUCUCACAGACACAGCAGAGAGCCCCUGUGCAGCUCUUGCAACGAGGGCAAUCCCGCUACCUCUCACUGCCGAGACUGCCAGGAGUACCUUGUAACAACUGUGUAUGGGCACACCAGAGGGUCCGGCUUACCAAAGACCAUUUCAUUGAUAGACUAGUGGAGAGUCUGUUUCACCAACACCUAGGGAACCGAACCAACAACUCUAACAACACUCCUACUGCCACUCUGAGCCGGUCCUCCUUCCAGUCAAGCUACUCUCUGCUGCCUGUCUUUCAAGACAGAGAGCAUGACAAUGCGGUUCUGCAUUUCUUCUGUGAUACGUGCUCCGUGCCUGUCUUUAGGGAGGCCAGUGUGGGUUGUCACUGGGCCACAGCCUCCUCAACCUCCAGGAUUCCCUGCAGGACUCCAGGACCCUCACCAUCCAGCUGCUGGCAGACGCCCAGCGAGGCAGGCACGCUGUACAGCUGAGCAUUGAGAAAGCACAGGCCGUUGCUGAGCAGGUGGAACUCAAGGCCAUGGUGGUCCAGUCAGAGGUCAAAGCCAUCACACAGCGUCAUAAGAAGGCCCUGGAGGAACGAGAGUGUGAACUACUGUGGAAAGUUGAGAAUAUCCGUCAGGUGAAAGCCAAGUCCCUCUAUCUCCAGUUAGAGAAGCUGCACCAGAACCUGACCAAGCUGGACAGCACCAUCUCUACAGUAACCCAGGUCCUAGAGAAGGGCAGUAGUCUGGACCUGCUGCUGGCCAGAGAGAGCAUGCUCCUCCAGAUCACAGAGCUUAAGGCCCUCAGGGAGCUGUUACUGCCGCAGGAUGAUGAUCGCAUCCUGUUCACCACCCCGACCAGACCUUGCUCCUCGCCAUCCAGUCCCUAGGUCUGGUCAGCUCCGGGCCUCGCCCCCUCACCAAGGCCCAGGGAGAGGGGCUUUGUCGGGGCUUGCAGGGUAAGCAGGCUUCCUUCACUGUGGUGGGGUAUGAUCAUGAUGGAGAGCUCAGGCUGUCUGGUGGGGACGGUGUGUCAGCUGUGGUGGUGGCGUCCGAUGGUAACCUGCUAAACGCUGAGGUGACCGACCAUCAGAACGGGUUGUACACGGUCAGCUACCUGCCCAAGGUAGAAGGAGAACAUCUGGUGUCAGUCCUUAUCUGCAACCAGCACAUCGAAGGCAGCCCCUUUAAAGUGCUGGUCAAGUCUGGCCGUAGCUAUAGAGGUACCCCUUUCCGGUGGCCUCGUUCGGCAGGGAGGGGGACGGAGAUGGGCAGCUGUGUCGCCCUGGGGGUGUGUGUGGACAAAGAGGGCUACAUAAUCGUAGCUGACCGAAGCAACAACAGGGUGCAGAUCUUCAAGCCGUGCGGUUCCUUCCACCACAAGUUUGGUACGCUGGGCUCCAGACCAGGCCAGUUGGACCGACCAGCUGGGGUGGCCUGCGACAGCCAGAGGAGAAUCAUCGUUGCCGACAAGGAUAAUCACCGCAUCCAGAUCUUCACCUUUGAAGGCCGGUUCCUCCUCAAGUUCGGGGAGAAGGGAACCAAGACCGGUCAGUUCAGCUACCCCUGGGACGUGGCGGUCAGCUCGGAGGGAAAGAUCCUCGUCUCAGACACCCGGAACCACCGCAUCCAGCUCUUCAGGCAGGACGGCACCUUCCUCAACAAGUACGGCUUUGAGGGGGCUCUAUGGAAACACUUGGACUCCCCAGAGGCGUGGCCUUCACUCAGGAGGACCACCUGGUGGUGACAGACUUCAACAACCACCGUCUGUUGAUCAUCCGGUCGGACUGCCAGUCGGCCCGCUUCCUGGGAUCAGAGGGAAGCGGUAACGGUCAGUUCCUGCGGCCGCAGGGCGUAGCAGUGGACCAGGAGGACCGCAUCGUGGUGGCUGACUCCCGAACCACCGGAUCCAGGUGUUUCAAACCAACGGUAAUUUCUUAUGCAAGUUGGGGACUCAGGGUAGCAGCUUUGGACAGAUGGAUCGCCCAUCGGGUAUAGCUGUUACUCCUGACGGAAGGAUUGUUGCCGUGGACUUUGGAAACAACCGAAUCAUUAUGUUCUAGGCUAGGCAGUUUGUCUGCUGGUUUGCAAAGGAAGAAACAUUGAAGAGGAGAUUUUGAAACACACCCAGCAGAUGCAAAUGUCUUUGUGAGCAAAUGGAGAUGGUAAUAUUGAAACUUGACCUUUUCUCUCAGCUUUACCUCUAUUUUGAAAGAGCAAAUCAAUGUAGAACAUGAACCGCUGCCAACAAGGGGUUAUUGUCAUAAGCUGACAUUUUGAACCCUAUAGAAGGCCUUCUGUGACAGUAUCUGGCUCGAUAGUUGUCUUUGCUCCUGAUGUGUGCGUCAAAAUCUCUGAUUUUCUCAGGGAAUUUCUUGCAUUGUUGAAAUACUUCCACUGCAUCAUACCUACCUCAUGUAGCUGUGUAUGAAUGUACUCCUUUAUUAUUUGAUGCAUAGAUUUUGCUAGUGGAGUUUUGAUAAAGUAACUACCUCAAUGCAAGAGAAAAGUAUAGUUAACAUGAAGCAACAUUUGGUUGAUAUUUGCACAGAAAGCACUCAUACAUUUUCUCUAAUUGUUACUGUUGACAUAAAGCGUGUGAAAUCCCAGAAUGUUGCUGAGAACAAUGUAUUUCCUGUGUUACAUACAUGUGGCAACGUGGAGUCAGACAUUUUUUUAUAAACUCAGCAACUGUUAUUUUUCCAUUUUGUUUUUAAAUAUGCCUUCAUACCUCUGUAAAAACCUUUUUUACCUCAUGUCACAACCACAUAGUACCUCAGAACUCCAGUGUCCUCAGGUCAAUAGUAUGCUGAGUCCCAAAUGGCACCCUAUUCCCUAAAUAGUGCACUACUUUUGACUAGAGCCCAUAGGGCACUGGUGCACUAAAUAGCGAAUAGGUUGUAAUCUGAGACUCGUCCUGUAAAAUGGAUUCUCUCCACAAAAUGGCUGCUGCCAGUUUGCUAUAGGCAGGUUGAAUAUUUGAUAUCAGUGACCAGUCAGUUCAGUCAGUUGUGUGAUUUCAGGGAAAACAUUUAACAAGGAAUUGACCAUCUUGAAUUUGGUGAAUCAUCAGAAUUGUUAUUUUCUGGGCAUCUAUGAAGAACUGUGACUUGAAACUACUGGCAAUCAUCAUUGUUGUUAGAUGAAUGAAUACAUGUCAGGAUUAAUAUAUCCUAAGGCAACUAGUGCAUUCGGCCACAACAUAGUGAAGAUUAGACAAUGACACAUUGGUGUGGGUUAACUUGGAUUUAAUCUCAACCAUGUCUGAACCUGAGUCUAAAUCUAUUUACUGAUAUCCAUUUAGAAAUCAUUGAAAUCUGUGUAGACUAACUCUCCUAAGAGUAGAGGGGUCUAAGAGUAGUGAAGUUUCAUUCUGAUAUUUUUUGAAGAACAACCUUUGUGCACAUGGUUGGUGGUUUAGAUUGGCACCCUAAUGACACUACCAUGUUCCUUUCUUUGUGAUCGUUGUUUGAAAAGUCAAUCGUUGCCUCUGGGCCUCGACUAUGUUCCCGUCAAAGAAAGUCAUCCGUUUAGCUUUGUUUCCUUCAAAAUAGAAUGCGUCAAACAUGGGAAACCGCGAGAAUAUUGUUUUAUCCUGGUGGCAAAUUAAAUAAUUUAAAAAAGUAAAACUGACCAGUAAAUUUAAAAGUGGCAGCAUUGAUGUUGAUCUCCAUUGCCUCCAUAGUAUUUUCAAUAGAUAUUCUCCGUAGUAACCCCUAGCUGCUUGUCAGUUGCCUGAUGACCCACUCAUGUAGCCUACAGAUGGCUGAGUAACCAAAGCAAAAGGCUCCACAUAAAUAGAAUUCCAUCAGCUGCUGCUCCCACACCCACAUUCACCCUGCUCUGAACUGUGAUGGCAGGGAGUCUGUUGGUCACAUUAGACGUUGGACUAUCAGUCAGCACAGCAGUUCCUCUCUAUUGUAUGUACCUCUGUCUGAGAGAACAUAACCAAACCAGGUCAUUCAUGGUUCCACAGUGGCUAUUAACUACAGAACAUCAAGAACCAGUAAAAAUGCUAAUGCUAAAAUUGAAUUCAUGUUUUUUUCACCAGCUGUAGCCUGCCCUGUGUUAUAAACUAGCUGUUCAUAGCUAUUAAUAUUGUGCUUAUAGCUUGAACUGUUAAAGCCAAGUCCCACUCUCCUCCCUCUGUGUCUCUGACUGUGUCUAAUGGGCCAGUAUUUCCUGUCUGUUGAGCCACAUUGCCGCAAGUGCUGGUUUACGAGGAGAGCUCGGUUCUUUCGAAAUGGCACACUAAUCCUAUAUAGCGCACUACUUUUGACCAGAGCUUUAUGAGCCCUGGUCAAUAGUAGUGCACUAAAUAGGGACUAGGUUGCCAUUUGGCACACCUAUGUGAGUUAGUGAGGCACCAUAGCUGUAGGUCUCCAGCUGCUCUAACCCCCAGAAGAGCUGGAAGGCAUGCAGCUCGCCAGACACACCUCAUAUCUCUUUUACCUUAAUAAUCACAGCUGAGUGUACAGGGGGACCAGUGAGACGUUGGGCUCCAGACACGGCUUACUCGGUUACAUCCUCUUAAUGAUUCAACCAAAAUGGCCACUUUUUAGAUGUUGAGUUUCCAGGUGUUUCAGUGGAUUAUUCACAUUGACACUGUUCCAGUGUUGUAGCUUGUGCCUUUUGUUAUACAGGAGAUAAAUUACACUUUCUGGGCCAUUUGUGACCAGCAGGAAAGGCAUUGUGACAAAAACAAACAGUAUAAAUGGACUAUUUGAGGUAAUAAAUAUAACUCUUAUAAAAAUGGCACACCAUCACUGUCAUUUAGUUGUUAAGUAUUUAAUGUUGUCCUUGCUGGUGUGACCCCUGGAAUAUAAAAAUAAUAAAAUAAUAAUGAUAUAUAUAUAUUUAACCAGACAAGUCAGUUAAGAACAAAUUCUUAUUGACAAUGACAACCCACUGUUCCCCGGUAGGCCAACUGCCUUGUGCAGGGGCAGAAUGACAGAUUUUUACCUUGUCAGCUCAGGGAUUCGAUCCAGCAACCUUUUGGUUACUGAUCCAAUGCUCUAACCACUGGGCAAACUGCCACCCCAUAUAUACCUCAUUAUACAGAAAGAUAUAGGUAUAAUGUACAUCUUUACCUCAGUAUUACUGAGCUACGCCCAUUACCUCAUUGCUGAACUGUUAAUACCUCGUUGGCAUGGUUGCAUUUUUCAAACCUCAGUUGAAUUGCAGUUAGAUGUGUGGUCUUAUAAUGUACUGUUGUUCCACUAAAGAAUGGAAAGGGAAGGCUUGGAGAAGUUAUGAACAGUUUGAUCAAGUAGAUUAAACCGAGGACAAUGCUGCUUCAAAUCCACACUGAUCUGAUGUAUUUUCAGUACAUUGUUGGUUCCUAUAGUUUGAACUUAAGUUUGCAGUGAAUGUUUCUUAAAAGACCUCAAGGUCUUGACACUUAGAAGACAAGACUUGUAUAUUUUAAUGCAUGAUUCAAAAAGUAAUUGUGGAAAAGAUUUGUCACUGCUUUUGAAUUAUUUUCGGGUUGUAGUAUGUUAGGUUGAGGAGGAUGGCUUCCUUUGACUAUAAGAUUGUAUCUGUUUUAUGAAUAGCCUUACUGGGCUCAAUCAAGUUACCUCAUGUCAAACAGAUUUCAAACAGAAAUACAUUUGCCUUAAAUAUUUCAGUAUUUUAUUAGGACCCUGAUUAGCUACUGCUGAAGCAGUACAUAACACUAUACUAGUAGAGGACAUUCAACAUGUACUCUGUCUAUACUUCCACAGUUGGAAGUAUCACAAAUAAUCAAGAAAACUACCAAGGGCUUAAAGGUAACCUUUGAACUUUGUUAUUUACCUGUUUCUGUAGUUAGUUUUUUGUCAGGUUGCAAAAUUCUGGUAACUUUACAGGUUUUCAAGAAUUCCAGGUUGGAGGAUUCCCGGAAUCAGGAGUGGAUAAAGAGGGCAUCUUCUAAACGGGAUUUCUGGGAAUUGGGGGAAAGUUUAUUUGCAACCCUAGCCGGAAGUGUACUUUGGGCUCCAUUUGAUCCAUAUGGUGGAAAUUCAGCACUAUAGAGAAAUGAAAGGCAAUGUUCCCACAUUUCAUGGAGACUGGCAGCGGUAACUGUGAAUGCAAUGUCGACUCAAAUCAGAAAGGACCUUUUUCCAUUUGAAUUGCACAGAACUUCUUCUGUGCAGAUUAAAUGGAGCCUCAGUCUAUCCAAACUAUUAGAAAUGGUCUGUGUUCCAUCCUCCACAGUAAGGUAUCUGGUUGAGCAGUAUGGGAGGAUUCCAGCAUUGGUACUUUUCUUCUCAUGGAGAUAAACAACCGAAGCCUAUCAGUUCAUAAGAACAUGGUCUUAGACAAAUUGACUACAUGAUCAUAUUAAAGUCAAACUCCGAUAGGUAUAAUGCUAGUGUUCCACGUUUUCAAAAACUCUCAAUAAGCAGCU
Oncorhynchus keta (chum salmon) is the source of this 6869-nucleotide RNA transcript. It is a transcript of the gene named E3 ubiquitin-protein ligase TRIM71-like, with no coding region annotated. The record is from RefSeq and is a predicted model, not a curated record. The transcript has 4 exons. Lineage: Eukaryota; Metazoa; Chordata; Actinopteri; Salmoniformes; Salmonidae.